ACAAUGGCUGGAUCUACUUUGAAACACGUAAUGCCUUCAAUAUGGUAAUCACUGAAGAUAAUGUAUGGAAGAAGGGAAGUUAAAAAAUCAUCUGCUCCGAGUGUCAGAUAGCCUGAGCACAUCGCCAACCCUCCUCCCUCUUCCAAUCCUUUUCUGAAUUGCUCGUGGCCUGUGACGUCUGCCGCUGGUGCUGUGCGCUGGGACUGGUUCCCGUGCAAGAUUGUCAACUGUGUGUCAAGACCCGCUCUGGAUUGUGGGAUUAUUUGUCCUGUAUCAUACUCAGAGGACAAGGAAAAUCCCAUUCCCCAUUCUGUUACAAAUGCCGGGUGACCAUUUGGAUUUCCUCUUCUACAACCUGCACGUUGCUAUCUUCUGACCUUUGUCUUUUCUGACAAAGCAUCGGGAGCUCUCUGCAGGUCACAGACCAGUUACCAAUUCGACCAUUCCGCUGGCAAGUUAGCAAAAGCUUUUAUCUUUUUAAAUGCCCGAAAAAAAUUAAAAGAAGAAGAAUAUGAACCUAAAUGUCUGUAUCCAUAAAGUUUUAUUGGAACAUAGCCACGGUCAUUAGUUUCUGGGUGGUGUGUGGCCAAGUCUGUGCUACACAGGCUUGGCUUGCGUGGUUGCAUCGGAGACUGUACGGCCCUUGAACCUCAUGUACUUACUGUCUGGUCCUUUCUAGAAAAUGUUCGCCAGCCCCACCGCAGACAGUACCAUUGUCAGAUGUGUUGCCCAUGCGUUUUCCCAACCUGCCCUUUAGCUGUGUGGUUUCUUCUACUAAAAGUUUUAUAUUUUGUGUGUCUGUCUUUUCCUUUAUGGCUUUUUUGGUUUCUUGCUCUCAGUAAGGUGUCCCCAACCUAAGUCUAUGUUAAUAUUCUUCUAAUUUUUCUUUUAUUAAUUUAAUUGCUUCAUGUUUUAAUUUAGAUCUCUCCUCUACCUGGAAUUAAUUUUAUUUACAAUGUGAGAAAGGAUUUAGUUUUGUUUUCUGACAAAUAGCCCAUAUGUCAGUUACGCUUAGUUAAUAACACAUUCUCCAACGGAACUGAACUGUGAUCUUUUCAUAUCUUAGGUCCUCAUAAACACUUAGAUAUUUUUCUGGAUUUUUAAAUUCUGUUUUACUGAUUUAUUGGUUGCCUGUUCUGUGUCAAUAUAACAAUGUUUUGAUUAUAGCAGUAUGUGAACUAGGUGUUUUUUUUCUGUGACAUGCAGCUAGAUCUCAGAAUCACAGUGGCUGGGACAGAACAGAAGUGAAUUUCUCUGUCAAAUUAAUCCCAGAACUAGGCAGCCCAGGGCUGAUCACAUUCAUCAGACUGGGUCCUUCCAUCCUUCUGCUCCACAGUCCUCGCAUCAGCCUUCGGGUCACCUCAGAGUCCAAAGUGACUUCUGGAAUUUCAGCCACCAUAUUCAUAGUUCGAGUAAAAGGAAAGCUGAGUAAAAAAAGGCUUUUCCAAGCCUUUGUCUGUUCCUUCCUGAUGACUUUUAGAUUCAGUAAGUUGCAUCCGACAGGAAUCAGGCGGGGCAAACUGCUUUCCUCCUAUUGUAGAGCAACUUCACGUUUAGCAAUUAAGCAGAACCUCUGAGUGCAGUUGUGCAGGCGGUUCACUGGGCGCAGGAGCCUGUCCAGACGGGUGUGGAUGGGUGCUGAGCUCGAGCCCGUGUUUGCUGGCCCACCUGUGCAGCCUGCCAUGAAGGGGACAUCGAGGGAGCUGUGUGGGUCUCCGUGGAUCAUGUGAACAUUGGAGAUGAACUCUGCUUCUCUCUUUAGCACUCACGGAAGGGCAAGCCACGGUGGCUCAUUUUCACUGUGUUCCCCCUGCCUCCCCCCACCCCGCCCCUGCCCCAUUCGUCAAAGAAGAGCCGUGCUUCUCCGGCCCCUCUCCCUCAGGGCUGGCGAGCGGGUGGGGAUGGCGGCGGAGGAGGGGUGCCGUUCUCUUUUUGACACAUUUCACCCUGAGCCCCAGCAGGAGGCGCGCCAUUGGCUCCGUCGCUGGAGCUUUCUCGGGCCAGGGGACAGGCAAGUUUAACAAAUCCAAAUGUUCGCCUGGCUAAUUCUGGGAAUGGUAUGCGCUUCGUUAAGGUAAAGAUUGAUCUUUGUUAGGGAAAAAAUACCAGCCUAGGACAUGACUACCUGCCAUGAACUGCUUUUAGUUGGAAAGUUUUAAUUCCAGACCGUCCCGUGGGUUUUCCUGAGGUCUCUGCAUUUGUAAGGCUGCCACACAGGCCUCCCCUGAGCCGGUCAGGUUCCACGUGCGGCCCCUUUUCGCCCACCGUUUCCACCUGUUUACAUCAUGUUAGGCAAAAAUUUGGGAAGAGAAUAAACUAUCAACAUUAUGGUAAAACAAA
Long non-coding RNA from Phyllostomus discolor (pale spear-nosed bat), 2340 nucleotides. RefSeq lists it as uncharacterized. Lineage: Eukaryota; Metazoa; Chordata; Mammalia; Chiroptera; Phyllostomidae. The record is from RefSeq and is a predicted model, not a curated record. The transcript has 2 exons.